This is a long non-coding RNA of Phascolarctos cinereus (koala), 1226 nucleotides long. RefSeq lists it as uncharacterized. The record is from RefSeq and is a predicted model, not a curated record. Lineage: Eukaryota; Metazoa; Chordata; Mammalia; Diprotodontia; Phascolarctidae.
AUGGAGCAAGGUUAACAGAGAGGCAGCAGCAAAUCUUCCUUUCUCUUUUAUAAAGUCCUCAGAUUUCCCAAGACUGAUCGACCCCAUUUUUUUUUUUCCAACACGAAUUCUUUUCGUCUCUGGUGAAGAUAAAUGGGAGGGGAAAAAAACCACAGGAAUUAAGGCUGAGUCCAAGACACCAAGGUCAUGUCUUCCUCCUGGCCCUGCCAUUCACAAGAAAGGCUUCUUGGAGGAAAUAAAAUGGAGUCAAAUGUUGAAAACAGGCAAGACACUUGAAAUGACACAGAAAAGGAAGAGGAGGGAAAGAUGUUCAAAUGCAUGGAGUCAAGAAAAUGAAAAUCUGCAGAAGUCAGCAAGAGGAGGACCCUGCCUACAGUGGAGGGGUCAGAAAGGGAAACAUCAAGAAGUGACUGAGUAGGGUGACAGUUAGAGAGAGGGCUUUGACUCCAAAAAGCAAGAACAAAAAGCUUCUAAUUGAGGGGCAUGGUCCUUGACAAGAUACAAACUGCUUUGGAGAUGAUUGCAUCCUAAAGAAGAACUAUUCUUGUUCCACUUGUUUGAACAGCUCCAGAAAUAUGUGUGGAAUACACGUGGAUGAGAAGCUCUAGUUUCAGCCAGAUGAAGGUCUUGUACAAUGUGUUUCAAAUACUUUCCCAGCUUUCCAUUCCUUUUUUUAUAUGAAUGUCAUUUUAUUGCUGCGGGUCAUUGUGGUACUUUUGACAGCAGAUGGCGCCCUUGGACCAUAAAGUCCUGCUACAUGGUGGAAGUGAAAUCAUGAAGUAGUUCUACUGAGGAUGGCUGCUGCCCUUUCUGUUUCAUCAGACUCCAACAGAGUCAUGAGGUUUUCUGCCUCUCAAAAGGCCUCACUGUUCCAGUCAUCUUCAAGGUCACUAGUAGCUAUUGUUAUCCUAAAGGCAUCUGAUUUUAAAGAAUAUAAUCCCUGUAUGUAAAACAACCACCCAGGUGAAGAACCGUGACCUAGAGAGAUAACCAGGCCUCCAGUCAGAAAUGUAUCAGGUGAUGGAAGCAGGAUUUCAGUUCAGCAGUACACUGACUCCAAGGCCAGCCAGUGUCUGGUCUGCUGCACCUAAUUUACAAGAAGAGGAGUUCUGGACAAUUUUCUUUGAUUAUUUCUUGCAUUAUGGUGUGCCAGCAGCUGACGUGAUGUGCGACAGAGCAGUGAAGAAAAAGGGGAAGGGGAACUGGAGAAAGAAAAGUCGGGCUAG